AUGGCUUGCCAAGUGGUGCCACGUCCGCACCCGGGAUCCAAACCGGCGAACCCCGGGCCACCAAAGUGGAACGUGCGAACUUAACUGCUGUGCCACCAGCCUGACCCCCAAGCAUCAAGCGUUUUAAAAGCUUCUCAGCUAAUCAGAGAGCCAGGGCUGCAAGGCAACAGGUGAACAGAAUUCACAAGUGUGGCCCCUCUAAGGAGAGGUGAGACACCCAAACUGUGUCAUCUUUGACAGAACAUGGGAGGAAAAACUAGCAGCCAAAAGAGUAGAUCUCAAGCAUCACUCAUGAGAAACAGGGAGCUGGGCAGGAGACUGCAUGGAGCCCCUUCAGCGAGACAGUGUACAGAUGGGGAGUGGCUGCCUGUGGAGGACAAGCAUAAAACCCAGAACAUUUUCUCAUGCAAAGAAAAAGUCAUCUCCCACUAGGGCAGGAGCUGGAAAUUCUCUCACCUCCAGUCCUUGGCAAAAGGUCAGCCGUCACUGGGGAGGGGCAGAUAAUCGCACUACCUGCUACAAUCUACCGCCGCCGGGAGAGGCAGACCCCCAGUCAUGCUCGGAAUCCUGCGCUGAUAGAAAGGAUAGGGACAGGAAAAGGUCUUGCCAGUUACAAGGGGGGGUUCAGCUGCUGUGAGGGGAGAGGGCAGGAACGUGGAGAAAGUCCCACCCUCGAAGCUCAGGCCCCCAGAGCCUGCAUAAGACUGAGGCUGGGCUAGGAGCACCAAGAAAAUCAGCCUGCCCCCGUCAUGAGCAACAGCACGCUACUUAAGGGGGAGGAGCAGAGGCGUAGAGAGAGACAGCCCCCAGCCCGCCGGCCAUGGCCGGGUGUGCUGAAAGCUGGAGGUGGAACAGGAACACUGAGAAGAGCCCUCCAGCAUUCCAGGCCUCACACUGAAGCAAGAUCUCAGCAGUGUGAGGAGUUUGAAGUCUGUAGUAUCAUAACGACUAUAGCAACCACAAACCCAAACUUAGCUUAACUACCCCACACCGCAAUGGCCUGACAGAUGAAGAGGCAUGCCCGUUAUCAGGAGUAAAUACUAUUUAUCUACAUCAGGCUCUAUUACUCCUUUACAUAUAAUGUCUGGCAUCCAGUCAAACUUAAAAGGGAAAAAAGCAAGAAAAGACCCAUUUCCAAGAAAUGAAGUAGUAAACAGAACCAGACUGAGAGAUGGCCCAGAAGUUGAAACUAUCAGAAAGUGACUUGAAAACACUAUGAUUAAUCUAAUGAAAGAUCUAGGGGGAAAUGUGGACAAUAUGCAUGAACAGAUAGUGUAUCUCGGCAGGGAGAUGGAAACUGUAAAAAAAGAAAAUUGAUUCGCUAAAAUGAAAAACAUGCUAUCACUCGUGAAUUCCUUCAAAUGGCUUAUCAACAGACUAGACACAGAGGAAAAAAUUAGUGAACUUGAAAAAAAAAAGAAUUAGUGGGGCCAGCCCAGUGGCGCAACGGUUAAGUUUGCACAUU
Molecule: long non-coding RNA, 1465 nt
Organism: Equus quagga
Lineage: Eukaryota; Metazoa; Chordata; Mammalia; Perissodactyla; Equidae
Exons: 3
Source: RefSeq, a predicted model, not a curated record